RNAcentral lists this ribosomal RNA (256 nucleotides) under uncultured bacterium. RNAcentral's name for it is "partial 16S ribosomal RNA". It matches the Rfam family "Bacterial small subunit ribosomal RNA", at positions 524 to 777 of the family's 1533-position model. The record is from RNAcentral.
UACGUAGGGUGCGAGCGUUAAUCGGAAUUACUGGGCGUAAAGCGUACGCAGGCGGUCUGUUAAGACCGAUGUGAAAUCCCCGGGCUUAACCUGGGAACUGCAUUGGUGACUGGCAGGCUUUGAGUGUGGCAGAGGGAGGUAGAAUUCCACGUGUAGCAGUGAAAUGCGUAGAGAUGUGGAGGAAUACCGAUGGCGAAGGCAGCCUCCUGGGCCAACACUGACCGCUCAUGCACGAAAGCGUGGGGAGCAAACAGGA